RNAcentral lists this long non-coding RNA (360 nucleotides) under Phoenix dactylifera (date palm). RNAcentral's name for it is "long non-coding RNA (PDAC_LNC022051)". Lineage: Eukaryota; Viridiplantae; Streptophyta; Magnoliopsida; Arecales; Arecaceae. The record is from RNAcentral.
UUUCAGCCACUUAUUUCUAUAGUAGUACAUCAUGCAUGUUGAAUGAAUAAAAUUUAAAGGAACGAACAGUUAUGAUCGUUGGCAUCAGGGCCGGCCCGAGCCUUAGGCGACUGAGGCGGUCGCCUAAGGCCCCGGGCCAACGGAAGGCCCCCGGAAGGUGAAGAGAGAGGGAGGGAGGGAGGGAGGGAGGGACCGUGACCAAAAGGAAGCAAAGGCCCCAUAUAAAACGGGAUGAGCUGGCUACGAGUCUUCCCCCUUGAUGUAAGGGAGGUGGAGAGCUUCUUGGCCUGCAGAGGGGAAAUUUAGGAAGUUGGGGACGGUAGUUUUGUUUUGGAUGGAGAGAGAGAGAGAGAGAGGAGG